RNAcentral lists this ribosomal RNA (402 nucleotides) under bacterium. RNAcentral describes it as "partial 16S ribosomal RNA". It matches the Rfam family "Bacterial small subunit ribosomal RNA", at positions 355 to 776 of the family's 1533-position model. The record is from RNAcentral.
UGGGGAAUUUUGCACAAUGGGGGAAACCCUGAUGCAGCGACGCCGCGUGAUUUAGAAGGCCUUCGGGUUGUAAAAAUCUUUUCUAUGUGAAGAAAAUGACAGUACCAUAGGAAUAAGGACCGGCUAAUUACGUGCCAGCAGCCGCGGUAAUACGUAAGGUCCGAGCGUUGUCCGGAAUCAUUGGGCGUAAAGGGUACGUAGGCGGGUAAGCAAGUUAGAAGUGAAAUCCUAUAGCUCAACUAUAGUAAGCUUUUAAAACUGCUCAGCUUGAGGUAUGGAAGGGAAAGUGGAAUUCCUAGUGUAGCGGUGAAAUGCGCAGAUAUUAGGAGGAAUACCGGUGGCGAAGGCGACUUUCUGGCCAUAACCUGACGCUGAGGUACGAAAGCGUGGGUAGCAAACAGG